RNA transcript from Mandrillus leucophaeus (drill), 2237 nucleotides. It is a transcript of the gene named GLI pathogenesis-related 2, with no coding region annotated. NCBI's taxonomy places the organism in Eukaryota, Metazoa, Chordata, Mammalia, Primates, Cercopithecidae. The transcript is spliced from 6 exons. The record is from RefSeq and is a predicted model, not a curated record.
UCAGAAUCUUUACAGAGCCUCCAGCAGUAGAGGCUUGGCCUCCAGAAGGACCUUCCAGAACCCAGUGCAGUCCCACCUAGGACAUCUAUACCCUCCACCCCAGCAGAGACAGCCCAGCCCCUUCCCUCAGCCCUGGGGAGCCGGGCCCAGGCAGCUCCUGCCUCCUUUUAGCAGCUCUGACCUUUCUUUUAAGCCCCAAGUCUGGCACCCUGGUAACCUGCACUCCACAGUCCCUGGUUUCCCCCGGGGCCCCUCAGCCAGAAAUUCCAUGGGAUUUGACUUGAGGGCCCAGGAGACAUGGGAGAUCUGGCUAUGAGAAAAGGGACGAGGACUCCCUGUUGCAUCAUCUCCUCAGCCUUGGGUGAAAGGCAGCAGAGUAGGAGAAAGGCACUGGUGAAGCUUCCAAACAGUUUCAUAAUGAGGUCCUGAAGGCCCACAAUGAGUAUCGGCAGAAGCAUGGCGUCCCCCCACUGAAGCUCUGCAAGAAGCUCAACCGGGAGGCUCAACAGUAUUCUGAAGCCCUGGCCAGCACGAGGAUCCUCAAGCACAGCCCAGAGUCCAGCCGCGGCCAGUGUGGGGAGAACCUCGCAUGGGCAUCCUACGAUCAGACAGGAAAGGAGGUGGCUGAUAGAUGGUACAGUGAAAUCAAGAACUAUAACUUCCAGCAGCCUGGCUUCACCUCGGGGACUGGACACUUCACGGCCAUGGUAUGGAAGAACACAAAGAAGAUGGGCGUGGGGAAGGCGUCCGCAAGUGACGGAUCCUCCUUUGUGGUGGCCAGAUACUUCCCAGCAGGGAAUGUUGUCAACGAGGGCUUCUUCGAAGAAAACGUCCUGCCACCAAAGAAGUAACUUGUUAAAUGUAAUGGGAAGGUGGCAGACUUAAGAACGUGGAUAUGAAGUGCCUAGAACAACCAAAACCCGGCUGUGCGUCUGUCCCUGUGGGUGUAUGUGCUUGUGUGUGUGAUGCAUGUGAGUGUUUCUGGUACACACACUUGGGCAUACAGUUCUGCGUGAGCUCAUUCUUACUACAGGAGUGAGCAAAGGAAGCGUUUAUCCCGAUCGUUACCUAGACCACGAUUAUUUGGAUUGGGGGGGGGCGGGGAAUCCGUUUUUUAAAUUUUUUGUUAUUUUUAAGCAAACUUCUUUUGUACUUUUCUUACUUCUAAUAUCCAUCCCUGGACUUUCUGUAUUCCAAAUGUUUGUGAUGCUGAGAAGUGAAGUUCAUUUUAUGUGAUCUUCAUGCGCCGUAAUCUACUUUUGGUAGAUAAUUAAGAUUAUUAAACCCUCAUUUAAAUGUGACAUAAAAUACAGCUUUAAGCACAUAAAUAUAAAGCAGCUUCCAUCAGGAACAUGGAGCAGGCAGGGGCUCCAUUUUACAGAAUUACUGAGAUUUCUCAGUUGUAAAACAUGAUGUCAUCCUGCGUGCCUUCUGGAAUUCUCCAAUGGGGUCGCCAAAGAACAAAUGGAGAAAAAAAGCUUUACUUCCUUGCAUUCUUCUACCUUUAAAUAGCAAAGUACCACUACCACCACCUCUUGCCCCCUUCCCUCUUUUCUUAAACUUCUGGCAUUUCAGAGCUCAGCAGGCUACCCCUGGUUUCUGGAGAGUUGGGCUAGGCCUGAAGCUCUCCCUCCCCCACCUCUGCUAGGCAGCCCAGGCCCGGGCUGGGAGACAGCCCCUCACCCUGCCUGGGCUCUUGGCCAAGCAGCCUUGGAUGGAUGAAGUCAGAGAGGUGGAGUGAGGGUGAGUUUACUCAGAGCCCCCAGAGGAAGCCCUCCACCCUCUGCCCUCCCCCCACACAGGGCGGGAGCCCAGGCCUGUUCCUGGCAGCUGUGGCUGCAGCUGUGCUGCUGCUCCCUCCUGGAAUGUGUGACAAGCCCAAAUGUUCCAGGGAGAUGGCCGGGGUAGGGGGCUUAGAAAUGCUAAUAUGGUUCUGUGUUUUGCCUGAAACGAUACCAGGUUCCCCUGAAUAGCAACUUUACAAGGUCCAUGUGGGAGGGACCAACCCAGAUGCCCUGCCAAGUGUCCCUGAAACCAUGGUAGCUCCGUCUGUCAAGAUGGCAGGGGCGGGAGUGAGGGGGCUGCUGGCUUAACCGCAGGCAUCUGGGCAGGCCAGUCCUCAAAGCAGCUCCUGAGGGUCUGUAUUGCACUGUGACCAGUCUCAAGCUAUGCCUCUAAUUUCGCCGGGGAUAUUGGCUAGGAAGACAAUAAAAUCUUUUUCUUUGUGUAAUAUCCUC